GACCCAAUGGCGUAGUGGUUAGUGACCCUUGACCACUGAGCCGAAGGUCCCGGGUUCGAUUCCCGGCUGGGGCA
This 74-nucleotide transfer RNA is filed under the name Plutella xylostella (diamondback moth). RNAcentral describes it as "tRNA-Ser". The record is from RNAcentral. Lineage: Eukaryota; Metazoa; Arthropoda; Insecta; Lepidoptera; Plutellidae.